GGGCUAUUAGCUCAGCCGGUUAGAGCACACCCUUGAUAAGGGUGGGGUCGCUGGUUCAAGUCCAGCAUAGCCCA
RNAcentral lists this transfer RNA (74 nucleotides) under Dinophyceae sp. MGD. RNAcentral's name for it is "tRNA-Ile". It matches the Rfam family "tRNA". Rfam says of the family: Transfer RNA (tRNA) molecules are approximately 80 nucleotides in length. Their secondary structure includes four short double-helical elements and three loops (D, anti-codon, and T loops). The record is from RNAcentral. Lineage: Eukaryota; Dinophyceae.